Molecule: long non-coding RNA, 285 nt
Filed under: Musa acuminata (dwarf banana)
Lineage: Eukaryota; Viridiplantae; Streptophyta; Magnoliopsida; Zingiberales; Musaceae
Description: long non-coding RNA (MACU_LNC011318)
Source: RNAcentral
AAUCAAACACAUCUCUUAUGCAAUCUCUUCUGGAACUAGUACUAAUAUGUGGUACGAUCCUUGGGUGAGUGGGAAGAGUAUAUUUCAAUUAUACGGCGAUAGAAUACGAAAAGAUCUUGGGGCUCCCAAAGAUUGGAAGGUUUCCGAGUUCAUUGCUAAUGGUACCUGGUGUCUCCCUAAUCCUAUUUCUCCUGAAAUGUUAUCACUUUGGCCGACUAUCAUAGCUAUUCCAAUCAGGAACAACUCUUCAGAUAUACUUAUUUGGCCUCAUGACAAUGGCAAAUU